Molecule: long non-coding RNA, 2889 nt
Filed under: Triticum aestivum (bread wheat)
Lineage: Eukaryota; Viridiplantae; Streptophyta; Magnoliopsida; Poales; Poaceae
Description: long non-coding RNA (TAES_LNC007162)
Source: RNAcentral
UGCACCAGUUUUUUGUUCUCGCAGGUAUUUUUGCUUUCUUUCUACAACACUUGUCCCGGUGCGUCCAUCCUCCACGUCAUCUAAUAAUACAAUACAUCUUCGUUUAGCAUAGUCAUUGAGGGGUCCAUGUGAUGAUGAUAUUUGUCUCAAUGCCUAUCUUUGUUCAGCAUAGUCCCAUUAAUAUAGUGUGGUUCUUUUUUCUUAGGCACCAGUUCACAUAACCUUUUCCUUGGUCGGUCAUCAUUAUUCUGUGACUGCAAAAUGAAAUGCAUUUAAAAAUAAUACAUGCUUAAAAAUCUAAAAAUGUGUAUGGUGGAAACAUUAAUCUCCCUUUUAGCUCGCAUGUCUUGCUUCUUCGUUUUUUGUUCCAACACGGUGUCCACUUUGUCAUCUAUCAACUGUUUGGCAUACUGCAAGAUAAGCCAGUGAGGAAGAACAGAAAAGAUAGUACUUAGUUAAUUAUUUUGAUGAAUUAAAUGCACCUUUACCUCCUCAGCUUUAUUGUUCAAGUACAACAUCUCUAGCGAGGCAUAAAUCUUCUUUUUACUACCUAGUUUUGCUUGCCAAAAAUAAGAUUACUGCUGUUGAGCUUGAAUCUAAAGAUAAUUUAUCCUCGCCAUUAGAUGACAGACAUCGCACAUCUGAGUCUUCAUCGUUAAAUGUUGUAUUUUUGACUUUUGAUUCGAUGUGUUAUUAGUAGACCAGAAUAGAUAAUGUUUCAUACUUGUGAAGAAGUUCUUGAAUUUUGGAUAUAUCUAGAUCCCUACGUAUUCUUGUGGCACAUGUUGACUUCACGCACAAACCCAUCAACAAUUAAUCUAUUACAUAUUUUUGUUUUGUAAUUAAAAAAAAUGAGAUUUCGAAAUUAUUGGACUUACAAUUGCAUUUUUGCACCAUUGUUUAGGUCACUGUAAGGACGGUUUGGUUUUGGAGUACAUAUUCAUCCAAAUAAUAAGCAAACAUUCCGAUAUCGUAACUUUGGUUCAGCCGAAGAUGUUAAGCCUGGAAAUUUAAUGCCGACCGCAAUGGAGGAAGUUAGAACUUAAGACAUUGGUAUACACUCUGCACUCACUCUGGUAUUGGAAAAUAAAUAUAACGGAUAUAGGACGGUUUUGUGUUCUUUGUUGUUUUUUUUGUUCCACAUGCUUCAUCUGGGUAAGUAGUCCGAUGACAUCUGUCAAUUUGGUGAUUAAUUACCUCAUAGUUAUAAUGAUUGAUUAAACAAAAAUCUGAUUUAUAACUGUAACAUACCUGAGCAUUGCUUACCUUUAUACGCUUCUUGUUGUAGUAUGACCUUGGUAUCGGACUCAAAGUACUAAUUCUGAAGAACUUUCAAUAAUCCUACAUCUGUCAAAUUGGUGAUUAAUUGCCACAUAGGUAGAAUGAUGGAUUAGCCCAAAAUCUGAUUUACAACUAUGACAUACCUGAGCAUUAUUUAUCUUUUUAUAUGAUUGUUGUAGUAUGUCCUUGCUAGCAAACUCAAAGUAGUAGUUAUGAAAAACUUCUGUCCUUUCACCUCCUUUCUUUGUGUAUUGUAUGCAAACUUUUUUCUAAUAUCAUUGUUCAGCGGGCCAUAUUUUGUGCCUCCCACAACCUAUUGCUAAAUGAAUAAAUAUAUUUCUUAGUUAUCCUUUGAUUUAUAACUAUCCAUCUGAUUUUUACAUAUGGUAGCAUGAGUUGUUUGGUCCUCUAUGAAAAUAACUACUAUAUACUUAUCAACUAUUGUUUGAUACAGUACAAUAGUCCACAUUUCAAAUUGUAUAUAAUAAACCUGCUCAUCCGUCAAGAUCACAUCAAGACUCAGUCAUCGAUUGUUUUUGAAACAAUAGAAUAGUCUGCAAUUAAAUAUGUAUAGCAUAAACCUGUACAUCCAUCAAGACCAUAUCAAGGCUUAUAAGUUCAUCGGUUGUAGGAUCGAUUAUAUCCCAUGUUCUCGUUACUUUCACUGAAACAUCCCAGUUUUGGUCUCUUGUUGAAGUUUCCCAGCUUCUUGUAUUCCCUAGCGUUUUCAAUUCAAAGGGAUUAAAACGCAUUGCUUCAAAAGGAUUGAAAAAGUUGUUGUCAAUUGAUAACGUAAAUAUGAAGAUUUUAGCUGAAAUAGUGAGUUCAUAGUAAUAAUAAUUACUAACCUUGUUGAUUCAGGUGAGAAGGAAACUCAGAUGGCUGGGUGUAACUUCUGUAGAAAUCGAGUUGCAUACCACUUCAUAAUUUGGGCUGGCUUCGAUAUUUGCUGUGCGCCGAGUCUGAACAUCUCGCGUCAGAGUCUGUUGGCUUCUAUUGUCCUGGUGGUGGCAUAGUUGAGUCAUGGCAUCGUAGAGCUGGUUGGCUUCAAUUUUCUUGGUGUGGCGCAGAGUCGUGAGUUGCUGGGUAUCUUAGAUUUCCAUGGUGGGCGAUGGCUGGGUGUAACUUCUGUAGAAAUCGAGUUGCAUACCACUUCAUAAUUUGGGCUGGCUUCGAUAUUUGCUGUGCGCCGAGUCUGAACAUCUUGCGUCAGAGUCUGUUGGCUUCAAUUGUCCUGGUGGUGGCAUAGUCGAGUCAUGGCUUCGUAGAGUUGGUUGGCUUCAGUUUUGUAGGUGUGGCGUAGAGUCGCGAGUUGCUGGGUAUCUUAGAUUUCCAUGGUGGGCAUGUGCAGCUGAUGGAUGUGGCAGGCUGUGUAUUUUUAUGGAUGAGUUCUCGCCGUUGUCUUUAUGGAGUCCUUGUAUGUUUAUAUUUCCAAUUAAAGGCUAUAUGUGACAACAUGAUGAUGGAUGCGGCCAGCCGUGUAUUUUAAUGGUGACCGUGUCCGUAUGCACUCCUUUGCAUGUGUAUGUGUUUACGUGCUCUUGGCUUACCCAGCUGUGUAUUUUAAUGGUGACCCUGUCCGCAUGCACUCCUUUGCAUGUGUAUGUG